This 440-nucleotide ribosomal RNA is filed under the name uncultured bacterium. RNAcentral describes it as "partial 16S ribosomal RNA". It matches the Rfam family "Bacterial small subunit ribosomal RNA", at positions 338 to 795 of the family's 1533-position model. The record is from RNAcentral.
CCUACGGGAGGCAGCAGUGGGGAAUAUUGCACAAUGGGGGAAACCCUGAUGCAGCGACGCCGCGUGAGUGAAGAAGUAAUUCGUUAUGUAAAGCUCUAUCAGCAGGGAAGAAAAUGACGGUACCUGAGUAAGAAGCCCCGGCUAACUACGUGCCAGCAGCCGCGGUAAUACGUAGGGGGCAAGCGUUAUCCGGAUUUACUGGGUGUAAAGGGAGCGUAGACGGCAGUGCAAGUCUGGGGUGAAAGGCGGGGGCUCAACCCCCGGACUGCUCUUGAAACUGUACGGCUAGAGUGCAGGAGAGGUAAGUGGAAUUCCUAGUGUAGCGGUGAAAUGCUUAGAUAUUAGGAGGAACACCAGUGGCGAAGGCGGCUUACUGGACUGUAACUGACGUUGAGGCUCGAAAGCGUGGGGAGCAAACAGGAUUAGAUACCCUUGUAGUC